Molecule: long non-coding RNA, 453 nt
Organism: Pan troglodytes (chimpanzee)
Lineage: Eukaryota; Metazoa; Chordata; Mammalia; Primates; Hominidae
Exons: 4
Source: RefSeq, a predicted model, not a curated record
CAGAGAUAUACAUGCAUUGAAUUCUGCUACACUUUAAACAAAGGAUACAAAUUGCUAAGGAAAGGACAGUCUCAGCCAGCAAUAUCAAUUCUCAGAACCAGAAGAGAAACCCCAGUGCAGCAGGAAUGGAAAUGCAUCAUAUGUUGAAAUCAACUGGAAAUUGAAGCAUUAAAACCACUCUGAUUCCUAUUUGGGUGACUGCCACAUCCCUUUCCACCAAAGAGUUCAUUGGACAUCUCCGGGAUAUUCAGCCACUCCUAUAAAACAGUGACCCCCCUAAAACAAGAAAAACGAUGAAGAUGAACAACCUGAACUGGACUCCUGCCAAGUCCACAAACCGAUUUUGCAAGACCUGACACUUUUGAAGAGUAUUGGACAGCUAUUUUGAAGAAUGUCCUGCAAUUUGGAUCUGCCUAAUGUGUUUCAAUGAAUAAAUGUUACACGUGCAUUGUU